This 1452-nucleotide ribosomal RNA is filed under the name Salmonella enterica subsp. enterica serovar Coeln. RNAcentral's name for it is "bacterial SSU rRNA". It matches the Rfam family "Bacterial small subunit ribosomal RNA". The record is from RNAcentral. Lineage: Bacteria; Pseudomonadati; Pseudomonadota; Gammaproteobacteria; Enterobacterales; Enterobacteriaceae.
CAGGAAGCAGCUUGCUGCUUUGCUGACGAGUGGCGGACGGGUGAGUAAUGUCUGGGAAACUGCCUGAUGGAGGGGGAUAACUACUGGAAACGGUGGCUAAUACCGCAUAACGUCGCAAGACCAAAGAGGGGGACCUUCGGGCCUCUUGCCAUCAGAUGUGCCCAGAUGGGAUUAGCUUGUUGGUGAGGUAACGGCUCACCAAGGCGACGAUCCCUAGCUGGUCUGAGAGGAUGACCAGCCACACUGGAACUGAGACACGGUCCAGACUCCUACGGGAGGCAGCAGUGGGGAAUAUUGCACAAUGGGCGCAAGCCUGAUGCAGCCAUGCCGCGUGUAUGAAGAAGGCCUUCGGGUUGUAAAGUACUUUCAGCGGGGAGGAAGGUGUUGUGGUUAAUAACCACAGCAAUUGACGUUACCCGCAGAAGAAGCACCGGCUAACUCCGUGCCAGCAGCCGCGGUAAUACGGAGGGUGCAAGCGUUAAUCGGAAUUACUGGGCGUAAAGCGCACGCAGGCGGUCUGUCAAGUCGGAUGUGAAAUCCCCGGGCUCAACCUGGGAACUGCAUUCGAAACUGGCAGGCUUGAGUCUUGUAGAGGGGGGUAGAAUUCCAGGUGUAGCGGUGAAAUGCGUAGAGAUCUGGAGGAAUACCGGUGGCGAAGGCGGCCCCCUGGACAAAGACUGACGCUCAGGUGCGAAAGCGUGGGGAGCAAACAGGAUUAGAUACCCUGGUAGUCCACGCCGUAAACGAUGUCUACUUGGAGGUUGUGCCCUUGAGGCGUGGCUUCCGGAGCUAACGCGUUAAGUAGACCGCCUGGGGAGUACGGCCGCAAGGUUAAAACUCAAAUGAAUUGACGGGGGCCCGCACAAGCGGUGGAGCAUGUGGUUUAAUUCGAUGCAACGCGAAGAACCUUACCUGGUCUUGACAUCCACAGAACUUUCCAGAGAUGGAUUGGUGCCUUCGGGAACUGUGAGACAGGUGCUGCAUGGCUGUCGUCAGCUCGUGUUGUGAAAUGUUGGGUUAAGUCCCGCAACGAGCGCAACCCUUAUCCUUUGUUGCCAGCGGUUAGGCCGGGAACUCAAAGGAGACUGCCAGUGAUAAACUGGAGGAAGGUGGGGAUGACGUCAAGUCAUCAUGGCCCUUACGACCAGGGCUACACACGUGCUACAAUGGCGCAUACAAAGAGAAGCGACCUCGCGAGAGCAAGCGGACCUCAUAAAGUGCGUCGUAGUCCGGAUUGGAGUCUGCAACUCGACUCCAUGAAGUCGGAAUCGCUAGUAAUCGUGGAUCAGAAUGCCACGGUGAAUACGUUCCCGGGCCUUGUACACACCGCCCGUCACACCAUGGGAGUGGGUUGCAAAAGAAGUAGGUAGCUUAACCUUCGGGAGGGCGCUUACCACUUUGUGAUUCAUGACUGGGGUGAAGUCGUAACAAGGUAACCGUAGGGGAACCUGC